This 443-nucleotide ribosomal RNA is filed under the name uncultured bacterium. RNAcentral describes it as "partial 16S ribosomal RNA". It matches the Rfam family "Bacterial small subunit ribosomal RNA", at positions 338 to 795 of the family's 1533-position model. The record is from RNAcentral.
CCUACGGGAGGCAGCAGUGGGGAAUAUUGGACAAUGGGGGGAACCCUGAUCCAGCGACGCCGCGUGAGUGAAGAAGUAUUUCGGUAUGUAAAGCUCUAUCAGCAGGGAAGAAAGAAAUGACGGUACCUGACUAAGAAGCCCCGGCUAACUACGUGCCAGCAGCCGCGGUAAUACGUAGGGGGCAAGCGUUAUCCGGAUUUACUGGGUGUAAAGGGAGCGUAGACGGCGAUGCAAGUCUGAAGUGAAAGGCGGGGGCUCAACCCCCGGACUGCUUUGGAAACUGUAUGGCUUGAGUGCAGGAGAGGUAAGUGGAAUUCCUAGUGUAGCGGUGAAAUGCGUAGAUAUUAGGAGGAACACCAGUGGCGAAGGCGGCUUACUGGACUGUAACUGACGUUGAGGCUCGAAAGCGUGGGGAGCAAACAGGAUUAGAUACCCGAGUAGUC